This 452-nucleotide ribosomal RNA is filed under the name uncultured Chitinophagaceae bacterium. RNAcentral describes it as "bacterial SSU rRNA". It matches the Rfam family "Bacterial small subunit ribosomal RNA", at positions 342 to 791 of the family's 1533-position model. Lineage: Bacteria; Pseudomonadati; Bacteroidota; Chitinophagia; Chitinophagales; Chitinophagaceae. The record is from RNAcentral.
CGGGGGGCAGCAGUAAGGAAUAUUGGUCAAUGGACGCAAGUCUGAACCAGCCAUGCCGCGUGCAGGAUGAAGGCCCUCUGGGUUGUAAACUGCUUUUAUAGGGGACGAAAAAAGGGCUUUCUAGCUCGUCUGACGGUACCCUAGGAAUAAGCACCGGCUAACUCCGUGCCAGCAGCCGCGGUAAUACGGAGGGUGCAAGCGUUAUCCGGAUUUACUGGGUUUAAAGGGUGCGUAGGUGGGUCGGUAAGUCAGCGGUGAAAUCUUCGAGCUUAACUCGGAAACUGCCAUUGAUACUAUCGAUCUUGAAUCAUCUAGAGGUAAGCGGAAUAUGUCAUGUAGCGGUGAAAUGCUUAGAUAUGACAUAGAACACCAAUUGCGAAGGCAGCUUACUAUGGAUGUAUUGACACUGAGGCACGAAAGCGUGGGGAUCAAACAGGAUUAGAUACCCGAGU